AGUGAACGCUGGCGGUAGGCCUAACACAUGCAAGUCGAACGGCAGCACAGUAAGAGCUUGCUCUUACGGGUGGCGAGUGGCGGACGGGUGAGGAAUACAUCGGAAUCUACUUUUUCGUGGGGGAUAACGUAGGGAAACUUACGCUAAUACCGCAUACGACCUACGGGUGAAAGCAGGGGAUCUUCGGACCUUGCGCGAUUGAAUGAGCCGAUGACGGAUUAGCUAGUUGGCGGGGUAAAGGCCCACCAAGGCGACGAUCCGUAGCUGAUCUGAGAGGAUGAUCAGCCACACUGGAACUGAGACACGGUCCAGACUCCUACGGGAGGCAGCAGUGGGGAAUAUUGGACAAUGGGCGCAAGCCUGAUCCAGCCAUACCGCGUGGGUGAAGAAGGCCUUCGGGUUGUAAAGCCCUUUUGUUGGGAAAGAAAAGCAGCAGGUUAAUACCCCGCUGUUCUGACGGUACCCAAAGAAUAAGCACCGGCUAACUUCGUG
This 492-nucleotide ribosomal RNA is filed under the name uncultured bacterium. Its description in RNAcentral is "partial 16S ribosomal RNA". It matches the Rfam family "Bacterial small subunit ribosomal RNA", at positions 29 to 507 of the family's 1533-position model. The record is from RNAcentral.